UACGAGAGGUGCAAACGUUAUUCGGAAUCAUUGGGCGUAAAGGGUGCGUAGACGGUAUGACAAGUCUGUUGUAAAAGACUCCAGCCUAACUGGAGCAGCGCAAUGGAAACUGUUGAACUAGAGUGUGAGAGAGAGAAGUGGAAUUCCCGGAGUAGCGGUCAAAUGCGUAGAUCUCGGGAGGAACACCGAUGGCGAAGGCAGCUUCUUGGCUCAUUACUGACGUUGAUGCACGAAAGCGUGGGGAGCAAACAGG
This 253-nucleotide ribosomal RNA is filed under the name uncultured bacterium. RNAcentral describes it as "partial 16S ribosomal RNA". It matches the Rfam family "Bacterial small subunit ribosomal RNA", at positions 524 to 776 of the family's 1533-position model. The record is from RNAcentral.